GAUGAACGCUGGCGGCGUGCCUAAUACAUGCAAGUCGAGCGAACAGACGAGGGGCUUGCUCCUCUGACGUUAGCGGCGGACGGGUGAGUAACACGUGGAUAACCUACUUAUAAGACUGGGAUAACUUCGGGAAACCGGAGCUAAUACCGGAUAAUAUAUUGAACCGCAUGGUUCAAUAGUGAAAGACGGUUUUGCUGUCACUUAUAGAUGGAUCCGCGCCGCAUUAGCUAGUUGGUAAGGUAACGGCUUACCAAGGCAACGAUGCGUAGCCGACCUGAGAGGGUGAUCGGCCACACUGGAACUGAGACACGGUCCAGACUCCUACGGGAGGCAGCAGUAGGGAAUCUUCCGCAAUGGGCGAAAGCUUGACGGAGCAACGCCGCGUGAGUGAUGAAGGUCUUCGGAUCGUAAAACUCUGUUAUUAGGGAAGAACAAAUGUGUAAGUAACUAUGCACGUCUUGACGGUACCUAAUCAGAAAGCCACGGCUAACUACGUG
RNAcentral lists this ribosomal RNA (497 nucleotides) under uncultured bacterium. Its description in RNAcentral is "partial 16S ribosomal RNA". It matches the Rfam family "Bacterial small subunit ribosomal RNA", at positions 28 to 507 of the family's 1533-position model. The record is from RNAcentral.